Molecule: ribosomal RNA, 443 nt
Filed under: uncultured bacterium
Lineage: Bacteria
Description: partial 16S ribosomal RNA
Rfam family: Bacterial small subunit ribosomal RNA
Source: RNAcentral
CCUACGUGGUGCAGCAGUGGGGAAUAUUGGGCAAUGGGCGCAAGCCUGACCCAGCAACGCCGCGUGAAGGAAGAAGGCUUUCGGGUUGUAAACUUCUUUUCUCAGGGACGAAGCCCGUGACGGUACCUGAGGACUAAGCCACGGCUAACUACGUGCCAGCAGCCGCGGUAAUACGUAGGUGGCAAGCGUUAUCCGGCUUUACUGGGUGUAAAGGGCGUGUAGGCGGGACUGCAAGUCAGAUGUGAAAACCACGGGCUCAACCUGUGGCCUGCAUUUGAAACUGUAGUUCUUGAGUACUGGAGAGGCAGACGGAAUUCCUAGUGUAGCGGUGAAAUGCGUAGAUAUUAGGAGGAACACCAGUGGCGAAGGCGGUCUGCUGGACAGCAACUGACGCUGAGGCGCGAAAGCGUGGGGAGCAAACAGGAUUAGAUACCCCAGUAGUC